GAUGAAGAACGUAGUGAAAUGCGAUAAGUAAUGUGAAUUGCAGAAUUCAGUGAAUCAUCGAAUCUUUGAACGCACCUUGCGCCUUUUGGUAUUCCGAAAGGCACACCUGUUUGAGCGUCAUGAAUACCUCAAUCUCCAUCUUUUCUUCGGAUUGAUGGGUGACUUGGAUGUUGAGCCCUGCUGGUAUGCUACAUCAGCUGGCUUUAAACUUAUUAGCCGGCUCUGUACUGGAUCGGUUUGACUCGACGUGAUAAUAUUAUCGUUGAGGAUGCAUGUCUCAUGCAGCCGGAAAGUAUCAAAGCAGCUUCUAGCUUGCCUUUAGUGCACUUUUACAUUUUAGACCUCAGAUCAGGUGGGACUACCCGCUGAACUUAAGCAUAUCAAUAAGCGGAGGA
RNAcentral lists this unclassified non-coding RNA (395 nucleotides) under soil metagenome. RNAcentral's name for it is "partial contains 5.8S ribosomal RNA, internal transcribed spacer 2, and large subunit ribosomal RNA". The stretch from base 1 to 120 matches the Rfam family "5.8S ribosomal RNA", at positions 35 to 154 of the family's 154-position model. The record is from RNAcentral.